GAUGAACGCUGGCGGCGUGCCUAAUACAUGCAAGUCGAGCGAACAGACGAGGAGCUUGCUCCUCUGACGUUAGCGGCGGACGGGUGAGUAACACGUGGAUAACCUACCUAUAAGACUGGGAUAACUUCGGGAAACCGGAGCUAAUACCGGAUAAUAUAUUGAACCGCAUGGUUCAAUAGUGAAAGACGGUUUUGCUGUCACUUAUAGAUGGAUCCGCGCCGCAUUAGCUAGUUGGUAAGGUAACGGCUUACCAAGGCAACGAUGCGUAGCCGACCUGAGAGGGUGAUCGGCCACACUGGAACUGAGACACGGUCCAGACUCCGACGGGAGGCAGCAGUAGGGAAUCUUCCGCAAUGGGCGAAAGCUUGACGGAGCAACGCCGCGUGAGUGAUGAAGGUCUUCGGAUCGUAUAACUCUGUUAUUAGGGAAGAACAAAUGUGUAAGUAACGAUGCACGUCUUGACGGUACCUAAUCAGAAAGCCACGGCUAACUACGUG
This 497-nucleotide ribosomal RNA is filed under the name uncultured bacterium. RNAcentral's name for it is "partial 16S ribosomal RNA". It matches the Rfam family "Bacterial small subunit ribosomal RNA", at positions 28 to 507 of the family's 1533-position model. The record is from RNAcentral.